UGCUGCACAUUAGAUUAUCUGUUUUGUUACGAAAUAUGCAAUUAGUAAUAUUUCUCCUUUUUGCCACUUUCUCCUGUGUCCUGUCACAGGUAACACUGACUGAGUCCGGACCAGGUGUCCUGAAGCCUUCACAGAACCUUUUUCUGACCUGUAGAGUCUCCACUUCUCUGAGCGGUUACUGGUGGAUCUGGGUUCGUCAGAUCCAUGGAAAAGGUUUGGAAUGGUUGGCACAAAUACAUAGUGAUAAGAGCACUUACUUCUCACAGUCACUGCGCAGUCGACUAACAAUUACAAUAGACACCUCCAAGAAUGAAUUCUACCUGCAGGUGACAGAUAUGAGACCUGAUGACUCAGGGACAUAUUACUGUGCAAGACACACAGUGAGAAAGAGAAGUGAUACUUCAGGAAAAUACCACAUGGUCUAA
This is a non-coding RNA of Bombina bombina (fire-bellied toad), 425 nucleotides long. Lineage: Eukaryota; Metazoa; Chordata; Amphibia; Anura; Bombinatoridae. The record is from the annotation of a RefSeq genome assembly.